ACACUCAAACCUUCUCAGGGUACCAGUUAUCUCUUGGUUUCCCUGUGAAGGUGUCUUGCUCCAUGAUUUGCCUUGCUCAGUGUGAUUGGAUAGAAGUUAAAUCUGAGAAGGGAGGGGGACACCAUUGAGUGACUCUAUGUAAUUGUUGCCAUUGGCUGUAACCACCCAGAUAGGGCCUGCUUUUUCAGCCUGCUUCUCAGAACCAAAAGGGUGUGCAGAUGAGAAACCACUGAGUAGAAAAGGAUCGUAAUAUGAACAAAGCAUGUCAAGAGGAGCUGGGGAGAAGGUGAAGGCUUGCCAUGGUCAAGCUGGCCUGAGCCAUUCCUGGGACUAUCUUUAGUUUCUAUUGCUGUGAUAAAACACUAUGACCAAAGGCAAGGUGGAGAAGGAAAGGUUUAUUUCAACUUACAACUCUUGGUUGACUCUAUCACUGAGAGAAUUUGAGGCAUAAACUCAAGGAAAGAACCUGGAGGUAGCAACUGAAGGCAUGGGCUGGAGAAGACUGCUCUUACUGGUUUGUUCCUCAUGGUUUGUCCAGGCUGCUUUCUUAUACAACUCAGGACCACCCAUCUGUAACUCCAGCUUCAGGGGAUAAUCUGAUACCUCUUUUUGGCUCCAAGAACAGCAGGCAUACACCUGGUAUAUACACAUAAAUGCAGGCAAAACAUUCAUACAUGUAAAAUAAUUAAAUCAUAUAUAUAUAUAUAUAUAUAUAUAUAUUUUUUUUUUUUUUAAGUGCUGGAGAGAUGGCUCAGUGGGUGAAGUGCUUGUUGCACAAGCAUGAACACUUGAGUUCGGUUUCUCAAGCAGUCACGUAAAAAGCUGGGUGUGGCAGCACGUGUCUGUAACUCCAGUGCUUGGGGGAUGGGGGCAGGCAGAGCCCGUGGGCCAGCAUGUUUAGCCAGGCUGGGGAGAUGAAUGAGUGGGCAAAAGAGCUUUCACACAAUCCUGAUGACUUGAGUUAGGAGCUCUAGAAUCCAUACAGAAAGGCUGGAUGCAAUAGUACAGCAUCCAUGCUGUGUGCAGGCACAGUAGUGGUGCUGGUGAUGAUGGUUUGGUGAUGGGGUAGGUACUGCUGUUGGUUACUAUUUGUGUGUUCCACAUCUCCCCGGCUCUCUCACAUACAUCUCAGAUCACUUUGUUUUGACCCCCACAUCUAUAGUGGCCUCCAAAUGACUACAGGAUACAGCACACCCACCUUCCUUCCUGGGCUCCUUUUGAGGUUGCUUCUGUUUUCAUUCAGUGACUGCUCCCUUACUUCGCUGAAUACAUUCUGGUGUCAACAGGAGGAGGCGCCUUCCGUUGAACAAGCCCCACUCAGUGGUCUCACUUCUUGUCUUCAAUCAAAUGCUUCCUCUUUCACCAAGGCAGCCACCCUCACAGCUAACUUCUUUGUUUCUUCCCACAGGAGGACGGCUUUGUGUCUCUAGCGUUUCUUUCAUGGAGCAUUUUGCAGUUAGUGGCACAAAACUGUACACUCAGUACAGUGUUAGGGACUUUUGGGCACUCAGAAGGGUUGUGUUAAGCUCACCAAAUACAUGGCCUCUAAAUUUUGCAGAAAUAAGCAUCCCACUGUGUGUGUGUGCGUGUGUAUGCAUGCAUAUGUUUUGAGACAGGGUCUCAAGUAGCCCAGGCAGAUCUUGAAUCCACUGGAUAGCUGAAGAUGACCUCAAACUCUAAAUCCUCUAAACUUCAUCUCCCAAGUGCUGAGAUUACAGGCAUGCACCACCACACCUGGCUUCCUAAUUUAUGCAUGGUUCUUCCUAUAAUUUGGAUCUUGAGAUGAUCCUCAAGGGCCUAUGUGAUGAAGGCUGGCUCCUCAGGAGGCACUGUUGAGAGGUGGUGGGACCUUUAAGAGCUGGCGCCAAGUGGAAGGUGUACUGUGGGACCCCUACCCCUUCCUCUUCCUCUUUUGCUUCCUGGCCACGGCUUCCGGUGCUUUGCUUUGCAUCUCCACUCUGUACUGCCUGACCCCAAGAUCCAAAGCAGGGUCAGUAGACCCCAGACUGGGACUGCUAAGACAAAAGAAAUCGUUUCUAUUUCCAUCUCACAGGUGUUUCUUCUAGAGACAAUGCUGACUAACAUAGCUGGGCAGCCUUUCCUCAUUACCUCCAUUGUAAAUCAACAGUAUUUCCUUCCUACCCUGAACUGGGCCCGGGGGGGGGGAUGAUGUUUGGCUUCUUCAAACUAUGAUGAGGUUCAUCAUGCUCAGGCCCUGUCAAUUAAAGUGCACUGCGUCAAGCCCGUGGGGGAAGGGAAGCAUGGUAGCUGCUUGGCUUUAGCAUGACCUGAGAUGAGGCCAGUGAAGAUUCAGUAGGUUUUCUCUCUUCUUUCUUGUGAACUAAUGAGCUUAUGAGGCCCACUUACAGGAGCAUUAGCUAGAGACUUCUUACUCAAGCAUUGGGACUUAAUUCAGCCCCAUCCUACCCUGGGUCACUACAAAAGCUACAUCUGUGGGAAUCACUAACAGCAGAGAAAAAGAGCCCUUCCCUAUUCAGAGGUGAUGGAGGCCUCCAGGUACCAGCUGGAGUUGAUCUGUUAUGUAAACCAGGCAUUGGCUCCCCAACCUGUCUGUCCACUGAUCUGCCCUGACUGCCUGUCUCACUACUAGGUUUUAAAUUUCUUGUGACCAGGAGGAUACAGCUCAUUUGAACUAACUGCCCUCAUCUAUUUAUCCAGUCCCUUGGGGGUAAGGCAAAAAUGUGGGGCAAACUCUAUCCAAUUGUUUCCCUCCCUCCCCUCCUCCAGGAAAAGGCUACCCCUGUAAUUAUAAGCCUGCUUCGGUGCCCAAUACCCUUGGGCUCCUCCUCCAUUAGCCCCACUGUGCUGGUCCCACCCCUUCCCUGUGGGUCAUGAAAGGGUGUGACCUCCUUCAGUUCUGCCGCCACAAUGCUCGCACCCGCUGCUCUCUUCCACCCUCAGCCUAUACUCCCUCUAUAAUGGCUAAUGCAUUCGCAUAAGGUUCAGAGACAAAAACUAGGCUGAUCUCCGUGGCUGCAGUUCUGAUGACGUUUGUUCGGCAAGUUGUGAUAAAAUGCGGUUUUAUCUGGCCUUUGUUUUUAUUCACCUCAUUCUGUUAACACCCAAUAGAAAACCUUGUGUUUGUGUCUGAGGGAUGGACCCCGACCUCGCCCAAUUUCCCACAUUCCUGAAUGAUUCUUUGCAUCCUUUCCUCUCAGACUUUAACAAAUCACUGCUUCUGGUGUGCGUGAAAGGUUAAGAGGGCAGAAGAAAAGGUAGGAUUUGAAGAGCCGGAUCAAAAGCAAAGCUUAAUCUUUUGGACAACAUUUUUCAAAAUGGGGUUAAAAUUGACAUGGAUCGCAUUAAGGGCGAAGCAACUGAGAACCCAGGAAACCGCAUGUCGAGAAGCACGUAAAACAAAAAUAAAAACGAUGCACCCUCC
RNAcentral lists this long non-coding RNA (3403 nucleotides) under Mus caroli (Ryukyu mouse). RNAcentral's name for it is "lncRNA (MGP_CAROLIEiJ_G0006366.1)". The record is from RNAcentral. Lineage: Eukaryota; Metazoa; Chordata; Mammalia; Rodentia; Muridae.